This 253-nucleotide ribosomal RNA is filed under the name uncultured bacterium. RNAcentral's name for it is "partial 16S ribosomal RNA". It matches the Rfam family "Bacterial small subunit ribosomal RNA", at positions 524 to 776 of the family's 1533-position model. The record is from RNAcentral.
GACAGAGGGUGCAAACGUUGUUCGGAAUUACUGGGCGUAAAGGGUGCGUAGGCGGGUCUUUAAGUCAGGGGUGAAAUCCUGGAGCUCAACUCCAGAACUGCCUUUGAUACUGAAGAUCUUGAGUUCGGGAGAGGUGAGUGGAACUGCGAGUGUAGAGGUGAAAUUCGUAGAUAUCGGGAGGAACACCAGUGGCGAAGGCGACUACCUGGCCUGUUCUUGACGCUGAGGCGCGAAAGCUAGGGGAGCAAACGGG